Molecule: transfer-messenger RNA, 345 nt
Filed under: Lachnospiraceae bacterium
Lineage: Bacteria; Bacillati; Bacillota; Clostridia; Lachnospirales; Lachnospiraceae
Rfam family: transfer-messenger RNA
About the family: Bacterial tmRNA, also known as 10Sa RNA or SsrA, is named for its dual tRNA and mRNA-like properties.
Source: RNAcentral
GGGGUUGUACUGGUUUCGACGGGGAUUUAGAAAUCAUGGAAGCCAUUGAUGGACCAGGACCAUCUAAAAACUUGGAAUUAAAUAUAAACGCAGACAAUCAGUUAGCGUACGCUGCCUAAUGGCAGCUGUCUUACCUAAGUUGACUCACGGCUUGGGAUAAGGCAUCAAAACAGUGGGGAACUUUGCUGUGAAAGCUUUGACACGGUAAAAGAAUGAUGAAGCUACCAAGGGUUUCAGCCUGCCGGUUGGCGGAAGCUUAAGGGAAUGUCAGUAAAGCGGCUGUAAUGGGAGAUGCCAUGAUGGAAGAGUCUUCGGACAGGGGUUCGAUUCCCCUCAGCUCCAUUG